GACGAACGCUGGCGGCGUGCUUAACACAUGCAAGUCGAACGGAAAGGCCCUGCUUUUGUGGGGUGCUCGAGUGGCGAACGGGUGAGUAACACGUGAGUAACCUGCCCUUGACUGUGGGAUAACUUCAGGAAACUGGGGCUAAUACACGAUAUGAGCUCCUGCUGCAUGGUGGGGGUUGGAAAGUUUCGGCGGUUGGGGAUGGUCUCGCGGCUUAUCAGCUUGUUUGUGGGGUAGUGGCUUAACAAGGCUUUGACGGGUAGCCGGCCUGAGAGGGUGACCGGCCACAUUGGGACUGAGAGAGGGCCCAGACUCGUACGGGAGGCAGCAGUGGGGAAUAUUGCAGAAUGGGCGGAAGUCUGAUGCAGCAACGCCGCGUGCGGGAUGCCGGCCUUCGGGUUGUAAACCGAUUUCGCCUGUGACGAAGAGUGAGUGACGGUAAUGAGUAAAGAAGCAACGGCUAACUACGUG
RNAcentral lists this ribosomal RNA (468 nucleotides) under uncultured bacterium. Its description in RNAcentral is "partial 16S ribosomal RNA". It matches the Rfam family "Bacterial small subunit ribosomal RNA", at positions 28 to 507 of the family's 1533-position model. The record is from RNAcentral.